This 317-nucleotide long non-coding RNA is filed under the name Panax ginseng (ginseng). RNAcentral describes it as "long non-coding RNA (PGIN_LNC001119)". The record is from RNAcentral. Lineage: Eukaryota; Viridiplantae; Streptophyta; Magnoliopsida; Apiales; Araliaceae.
UUUGGGGAAUCAGACAACUAAAUUUUUACAGAACUGAUAACUGCAAUACUUCAAAGAGUAGGGAAUGAAAUUGAGCGCAGCAACCUGCCUCAGAAAUUCUGGUAUACGUAGACAUAAUAAAUUUGAAGUUUGGAGUUGAUAUUUCUUCUCGAAAGUUGUGCUUAUGAUUAACGGUGUUCUCGAAAGUGCACAGUUUAAAUUAAAAAGUGUUAUAUAAAUAUGGGUUGAAAAAUGGUUAACCGGUUCAGAACUUUAACCGACCUGAAUAAAUAUAGGUCUAAACUUUAACUGACCUGAAUAAAUAAAAAUGGUUAACC